GAUUAAGUUAUUAAGGGCGCACGGUGGAUGCCUUGGCACUAGAAGUCGACGAAGGACGUUACUAACGACGAUAUGCUUUGGGGAGCUGUAAGUAAGCUUUGAUCCAGAGAUUUCCGAAUGGGGAAACCCAGCACGAGUUAUGUCGUGUUAUCGAUAUGUGAAUACAUAGCAUAUCUGAAGGCAGACGCGGAGAACUGAAACAUCUUAGUACCCGCAGGAAGAGAAAGAAAAAUCGAUUCCCUGAGUAGCGGCGAGCGAAACGGGAAGAGCCCAAACCAACGAGCUUGCUUGUUGGGGUUGUAGGACACUCUAUACGGAGUUACAAAAGAACAGACUAGACGAAUCAUCUGGAAAGAUGAAUCAAAGAAGGUAAUAAUCCUGUAGUCGAAAGUUUGUUCACUCUUGAGUGGAUCCUGAGUACGACGGAACACGAGAAAUUCCGUCGGAAUCUGGGAGGACCAUCUCCCAAGGCUAAAUACUCUCUAGUGACCGAUAGUGAACCAGUACCGUGAGGGAAAGGUGAAAAGUACCCCGGAAGGGGAGUGAAAUAGAACUUGAAACCGUGUGCUUACAAGUAGUCAGAGCCCGUUAAUGGGUGAUGGCGUGCCUUUUGUAGAAUGAACCGGCGAGUUACGAUUUGAUGCAAGGUUAAGCAGUGAAUGUGGAGCCGUAGCGAAAGCGAGUCUGAAUAGGGCGUUGAGUAUUUGGUCGUAGACCCGAAACCAGGUGAUCUACCCAUGACCAGGUUGAAGUUCAGGUAACACUGAAUGGAGGACCGAACCGACUUACGUUGAAAAGUGAGCGGAUGAGUUGUGGGUAGCGGAGAAAUUCCAAUCGAACCUGGAGAUAGCUGGUUCUCUCCGAAAUAGCUUUAGGGCUAGCCUCAAGUGAUGAUUAUUGGAGGUAGAGCACUGUUUGGACGAGGGGCCCUUAUCGGGUUACCGAAUUCAGACAAACUCCGAAUGCCAAUCAAUUUAACUUGGGAGUCAGAACGCGGGUGAUAAGGUCCGUGUUCGAAAGGGAAACAGCCCAGACCACCAGCUAAGGUCCCAAAAUAUAUGUUAAGUGGAAAAGGAUGUGGCGUUGCCCAGACAACUAGGAUGUUGGCUUAGAAGCAGCCAUCAUUUAAAGAGUGCGUAAUAGCUCACUAGUCGAGUGACACUGCGCCGAAAAUGUACCGGGGCUAAACAUAUUACCGAAGCUGUGGAUUGUCCGUAAGGACAAUGGUAGGAGAGCGUUCUAAGGGCGUUGAAGCAUGAUCGCAAGGACAUGUGGAGCGCUUAGAAGUGAGAAUGCCGGUGUGAGUAGCGAAAGACGGGUGAGAAUCCCGUCCACCGAUUGACUAAGGUUUCCAGAGGAAGGCUCGUCCGCUCUGGGUUAGUCGGGUCCUAAGCUGAGGCCGAUAGGCGUAGGCGAUGGAUAACAGGUUGAUAUUCCUGUACCACCAUUAUUCGUUUUAAGCGAUGGGGGGACGCAGUAGGAUAGGCGAAGCGUACGAUUGGAUUGUACGUCCAAGCAGUGAGAUUGAGUGUUAGGCAAAUCCGGCACUCUUAAGAUUGAGCUGUGAUGGGGAGAGGAAAUUGUUUCCUCGAGUCGUUGAUUUCACACUGCCAAGAAAAGCCUCUAGCUAGAAUUGUGGUGCCCGUACCGCAAACCGACACAGGUAGUCAAGAUGAGAAUUCUAAGGUGAGCGAGCGAACUCUCGUUAAGGAACUCGGCAAAAUGACCCCGUAACUUCGGGAGAAGGGGUGCUCUUUAGGGUUAACGCCCAGGAGAGCCGCAGUGAAUAGGCCCAAGCGACUGUUUAUCAAAAACACAGGUCUCUGCUAAACCGUAAGGUGAUGUAUAGGGGCUGACGCCUGCCCGGUGCUGGAAGGUUAAGAGGAGUGGUUAGCUUCUGCGAAGCUACGAAUCGAAGCCCCAGUAAACGGCGGCCGUAACUAUAACGGUCCUAAGGUAGCGAAAUUCCUUGUCGGGUAAGUUCCGACCCGCACGAAAGGCGUAACGAUUUGGGCACUGUCUCAACGAGAGACUCGGUGAAAUCAUAGUACCUGUGAAGAUGCAGGUUACCCGCGACAGGACGGAAAGACCCCGUGGAGCUUUACUGUAGUCUGAUAUUGAAAUUCGGCACAGCUUGUACAGGAUAGGUAGGAGCCUGAGAUACGUGAGCGCUAGCUUACGUGGAGGCGUUGGUGGGAUACUACCCUCGCUGUGUUGGAUUUCUAACCCGCACCAUUUAUCAUGGUGGGAGACAGUGUCAGAUGGGCAGUUUGACUGGGGCGGUCGCCUCCUAAAGAGUAACGGAGGCGCUCAAAGGUUUCCUCAGAAUGGUUGGAAAUCAUUCAUAGAGUGUAAAGGCAUAAGGAAGCUUGACUGCGAGACUUACAAGUCGAGCAGGGUCGAAAGACGGACUUAGUGAUCCGGUGGUUCCGCAUGGAAGGGCCAUCGCUCAACGGAUAAAAGCUACCCCGGGGAUAACAGGCUUAUCUCCCCCAAGAGUUCACAUCGACGGGGAGGUUUGGCACCUCGAUGUCGGCUCAUCGCAUCCUGGGGCUGUAGUCGGUCCCAAGGGUUGGGCUGUUCGCCCAUUAAAGCGGUACGCGAGCUGGGUUCAGAACGUCGUGAGACAGUUCGGUCCCUAUCCGUCGUGGGCGUAGGAAAUUUGAGAGGAGCUGUCCUUAGUACGAGAGGACCGGGAUGGACAUACCUCUGGUGUACCAGUUGUCGUGCCAACGGCAUCGCUGGGUAGCUAUGUAUGGACGGGAUAAGUGCUGAAAGCAUCUAAGCAUGAAGCCCCCCUCAAGAUGAGAUUUCCCAACUUCGGUUAUAAGAUC
RNAcentral lists this ribosomal RNA (2834 nucleotides) under Staphylococcus saprophyticus subsp. saprophyticus ATCC 15305 = NCTC 7292. RNAcentral describes it as "bacterial LSU rRNA". It matches the Rfam family "Bacterial large subunit ribosomal RNA". Lineage: Bacteria; Bacillati; Bacillota; Bacilli; Caryophanales; Staphylococcaceae. The record is from RNAcentral.